UACGUAGGGGGCAAGCGUUGUCCGGAAUCAUUGGGCGUAAAGAGCGUGUAGGCGGCCAGAAAAGUCCGCUGUGAAAACUCGAGGCUCAACCUCGAGACGCCGAUGGAAACCAUCUGGCUAGAGUCCGGAAGAGGAGAGUGGAAUUCCUGGUGUAGCGGUGAAAUGCGCAGAUAUCAGGAAGAACACCCGUGGCUAAGGCGGCUCUCUAGUACGGUACUGACGCUGAGACGCGAAAGCGUGGGGAGCGAACAGG
This 253-nucleotide ribosomal RNA is filed under the name uncultured bacterium. Its description in RNAcentral is "partial 16S ribosomal RNA". It matches the Rfam family "Bacterial small subunit ribosomal RNA", at positions 524 to 776 of the family's 1533-position model. The record is from RNAcentral.